AAAGCGAGCGCCGCGGCCCCUCCGGAUGCAGAGCCCGCCGGGCUUCGCUGCGCCCGGAAGGAUGUCUUUGAAGAGCAGCUUUCGCAAUUGUGACUGGACCUGUAGCAACCGUGGCUGAUACAGGAGCAAGACAAAGAUUGAGUCCUGGUUUGGGACUCAGCUGAGAUGGAAGACAGAAGGACCCAGGGCACUUAAACUCAAGGAGAACCCCUCACCUGCAAAGCUCUACAUGUUGCUGAUCUUUGGAUCCAGAGUUUAUGUAUGAAAUAAAGGCCGCAUUGCAUUGCAAUUCCCAAAAAUGUGUUACGAAAGGUAGUACUUUCUGUUUUGAGGCGGCUACAUGGAUUCAGCAUACCGUCCUUUCCUGUUUAAAGUCACCACCACCGAUCCCAUCCUUUGGUGUUAUUUCUUCAAGCCUUCACAUAUAUGUUACAAGUCCUCAGACCAUUCUUCCUAGCUGCCUCGGAACAUAAGUACUUUCUAUAGAAAGAGUUACAUGGCUAAUCAUGCCAGAGAAAUUUAAAAAAGAUAAAACAGCUAUUGUGAGGAAGUUAAAAAUAAUCUGAAAUAAAGUUCUUAGAGUCUCGUUCCCUACUCAGUAUUUCUUAUCUUCCGUCU
Long non-coding RNA from Myotis davidii, 618 nucleotides. RefSeq lists it as uncharacterized. The record is from RefSeq and is a predicted model, not a curated record. Lineage: Eukaryota; Metazoa; Chordata; Mammalia; Chiroptera; Vespertilionidae. The transcript is spliced from 3 exons.